CGAUUGAUUGUGGAAGGCAAUUCCUUGACAGUAAUUAAAAAUAUUCAAAAGAAAUGGAAUGAUAACUCAGUGAUCAGCUCGAUUACUCAUCACAUUUACAAUCUGGGUAUGAGCUUUGAAACAGUUUCUUACCUUGCUGUUCCCCGUGAAGCUAAUGAGGCGGCCCACGCACUGGCACUAGAGGGCAAGAAGCAAAAGGUUUGUGGGAGUUGGGUCCAGGGAGUGCCGGCGUCGGUGCGACUGGCGGCUUUGAAGGACUGUUCGGCUUGGUUUCAGAGGAGCUGAGCUUCUUUUACUUUGGAAAUGAAUUUGGUUCAUCCAAAGGUUCUUCUCUCAUUAUACUUGGUUCGGAUUCGAAAGGCAAGGAGAGUGUGGCUGAUAUUGGGGCUGGUAUUCUGCUGGUUGGCUCAAGGUUUCUUGCUUUUUUGUUUUAAUUUGUUAUGUCUUUUCGUUUGCUGGUUUACAGUUGUUUGGCUUGUCGUUUCUUCUUUCUGGUUGCUGACGUUUCUGUUACUGUUCACCUUGAGCUGUUAUCUAAUAUCAGUUUUAUUUCAAAAAAAA
Molecule: long non-coding RNA, 561 nt
Filed under: Gossypium raimondii (Peruvian cotton)
Lineage: Eukaryota; Viridiplantae; Streptophyta; Magnoliopsida; Malvales; Malvaceae
Description: long non-coding RNA (GRAI_LNC003240)
Source: RNAcentral